CGCCCACCCACCACGGUGGAUCUAGUGCUGCCUCGUAAAGUGGCCACAGGGCUUUAUGUCAGCGGUACCGCUUCCUUAAACAGGCCUUGGGAGCCAGUGGCUGCACACUGCCCUCUCACCAUCAUAGGAAAGAAAAUGUGUAAGCCAUCAUAAGAAAGAAAAAUCAGCUAUGGAUAUCCUGUGUUACAAAUUUGGCCUGUGACGACUGAGGAGAGAGGCUAGGAUGCAAAGUAUAGAAUUACAAAGGAUAUUUCCAUCAUCCAGGGGCAGCAGGCAGCGAGUGGAGCUGAAGGUGUGCCUCACCCAGUUUCAGUGAUCAGCUCCCCUUGAUGGUGACGGGCACCAGGCGAUUGAUUGGGUUCCCAAAACUGUCCAGGAAACAGAUGAGUGUCAGACCAGGGGGGUCCGUGAAGAGUCCACAGAGAAGGACCACUGAUAAUCUCACCGAAAGAACUUGAACCUGCUCUGGACUGGGACCUGGGAACACCGAGAGUUUGCACCUUGUGGCCUGCAGCAGCUGCCCCAGCACCGGAGGGACUGAUAACAGAGCGACCACUCCCAAGAGAGACUUUCUGAAUUUGUCAUCUUUUUUCAGAGUGGUGUCAUCUGUUAUUGUUCAUUUUGUGUGCUGGGGGGUGCUGUGCCUAUUAAAUAAACAGGUUCUUUCCACUUC
Molecule: long non-coding RNA, 673 nt
Organism: Agelaius phoeniceus (red-winged blackbird)
Lineage: Eukaryota; Metazoa; Chordata; Aves; Passeriformes; Icteridae
Source: RefSeq, a predicted model, not a curated record